GUGGGGAAUUUUGGACAAUGGGCGCAAGCCUGAUCCAGCAAUGCCGCGUGCAGGAAGAAGGCCUUCGGGUUGUAAACUGCUUUUGUACGGAACGAAACGGUCCGGGUUAAUACCCUGGGCUAAUGACGGUACCGUAAGAAUAAGCACCGGCUAACUACGUGCCAGCAGCCGCGGUAAUACGUAGGGUGCAAGCGUUAAUCGGAAUUACUGGGCGUAAAGCGUGCGCAGGCGGUUUUGUAAGACGGGCGUGAAAUCCCCGGGCUCAACCUGGGAAUUGCGGUUGUGACUGCAAGGCUGGAGUGCGGCAGAGGGGGAUGGAAUUCCGCGUGUAGCAGUGAAAUGCGUAGAUAUGCGGAGGAACACCGAUGGCGAAGGCAAUCCCCUGGGCCUGCACUGACGCUCAUGCACGAAAGCGUGGGGAGCAAACAGGAUUAGAUACCCUGGUAGUCC
This 450-nucleotide ribosomal RNA is filed under the name uncultured bacterium. RNAcentral's name for it is "partial 16S ribosomal RNA". It matches the Rfam family "Bacterial small subunit ribosomal RNA", at positions 354 to 796 of the family's 1533-position model. The record is from RNAcentral.